UCAGUCGACUCCUACGGGGAGGCAGCAGUGGGGAAGUAUUGCACAAUGGGGGAAACCCUGAUGCAGCCAUGCCGCGUGUGUGAAGAAGGACCUUCGGGUUGUAAAGCACUUUCAGUAGGGAGGAAGGUAGUGUAGUUAAUACCUGCAUUAUUUGACGUUACCUACAGAAGAAGCACCGGCUAACUCCGUGCCAGCAGCCGCGGUAAUACGGAGGGUGCGAGCGUUAAUCGGAAUUACUGGGCGUAAAGCGCAUGCAGGCGGCCUGUUAAGUCAGAUGUGAAAGCCCGGGGCUUAACCUCGGAAUUGCAUUUGAAACUGGCAGGCUAGAGUCUUGUAGAGGGGGGUAGGAAUUUCAGGUGUAGCGGUGAAAUGCGUAGAGAUCUGAAGGAAUACCAGUGGCGAAGGCGGUCCCCUGGACAAAGACUGACGCUCAGAUGCGAAAGCGUGGGGAGCAAACAGGAUUAGAUACCCUGGUAG
RNAcentral lists this ribosomal RNA (477 nucleotides) under uncultured bacterium. Its description in RNAcentral is "bacterial SSU rRNA". It matches the Rfam family "Bacterial small subunit ribosomal RNA", at positions 328 to 793 of the family's 1533-position model. The record is from RNAcentral.